UUUCAUUGUAAAUAGAACAUUUCAAACUUUGGAAAUUAAAAAUUCAAAUUGAUGGAGAAAUGAUAAAAGCCUACUUUUGACCAAUCUUCCUAUGAUCUUAGAUGACGUGAGACGAAGUGCUUAUUGGGCAAUAAUUCGAUGGUUGAUUUUCAUCUCCUCCUUUAUGCAGAGGUAUAAUUACAACUGUCUUAAGGGGAUCAUCCCAUGUGAUGGACUCAAAAAAUCGAUUUUUUUUUCAUAAAUUGCUUUCUUAACAUGUCUAGAAUAAGGUAGUAAAGUGAUUUUUGAAAAUUCCAAGUCGUUUUAAAGAUACAGCAGGUAAAAUAAAAAGCUGUUCGGAGCGCUGAGUUGGCAAUUGGGGUCCGGGCCUAUUGUGUACCGUCGACUUUAUACCUGGCCCCCCUUUUAUACAUAUAUACAUUUAUACAAGUUUAGACAAGUUUUUAACUAUGUUUAACUUUAAGUUUCAAGAGGAAGAGGAAGGAAUACUCUAUGGACCAGGCAUUGCCGAUUGAGGAUAAGCCAAUCAGACAGAUUGGCUUAUCUGGCAGAAUCAUUUUUUCGAGGAGGGAGUGCUCAGAACGCUGUAACUCAAGUUCUACACAAUAUUUUUAGCUUAAAAUUUAUAUUUAUACUGUCGUAAUAUAUGUUAAUAAAUGAUAAUAAACUUAAA
Molecule: long non-coding RNA, 673 nt
Organism: Diorhabda carinulata
Lineage: Eukaryota; Metazoa; Arthropoda; Insecta; Coleoptera; Chrysomelidae
Exons: 2
Source: RefSeq, a predicted model, not a curated record